Molecule: long non-coding RNA, 1075 nt
Organism: Solanum tuberosum (potato)
Lineage: Eukaryota; Viridiplantae; Streptophyta; Magnoliopsida; Solanales; Solanaceae
Exons: 2
Source: RefSeq, a predicted model, not a curated record
AACCAUACAUACAUACAAUCACACAGCAAUUCCAAAACAAAUCCAGAAACCAAAAUCCCAUCAGCAGACGCCCAAACCAGACGACCCCACCACUGUCCAUCACGCUCUUCUUCUUCACGGGAAGAUCGAAAUUCAACGAGCAAAUCGCGCUGCAAACCUGAAAAUCUCAUCCAAACCCAUACCUUAGCAUCCCCAAUGUCAAACCCUCACGUCCCAUUUUCCCCCUUUAGCGGAAGUCACUAUUUUUUCCCAUCCCCCUUCACUGUUGAUCUCGAAUGGAGCAAAGGAAAAUUCAAAUUUUCUUUUGAAAUUUUCCAACGGAUUCACCACCCCCCCCAAAGUUGCUCCAUUUUUUCCUAUAUAUAGUUCUCUCCCUCAGUGAUUAAGAAAACGGAAGAAAAAGAUCGGAUUUUGAGGGCAAUAUUUCACAUACGAAAAUAGCUUACAAAAGGUCACUUGGUUUCAAUUUUAUUUGUUUCCUUUGGUCUGCUCGAGUCUGAACUAGUGUGGUAGGAGAAUCGUGGAAAUCGCUCCCCUGCUCGUUGUCUCGGUUCUCUGCUUCUUAAAAGUUCUUCAGACUCCUCUUUGCCUUGUAUUUUGAGUUGGGGUUGAAACCCAAUGCUUUCCCUAUUUUUUUGAGGCAACCUCUAUGCAUUCGGAAGCUGUUACAGGUCCUGGAGGCCCAUCAUGUUUGCUGAAAAUUAAUUCAAAGCCCAAGAAAUGAGUUGUAUACAUAUUGUAUACAGCAGUAUACACUCGUUAUACAGCGAAUUACAGGUCAAAAAUGCAAAAAUACAGAGAUGAGGCGAAAUACAGGUGUUCGGAAGCAAGAGAUACAUGAAAAGAGCUAAUAUAUACGCUCAUAUACACUGAUAUACGCUCAGUGUAUACGCAAAAACGGGAAUUGAAAUAGUUCAAAAUUUGCAGCGAAAUUGACCCAAAAAGGGGCCCAAUUUCCUGAUAUCUUUUACUCUUUUAAUUGAUUUGCUUAUGCUUGACUAAUUUUAUUUAACUCUAACUAUAAUUUAUUUUAAUUAACUUAAUUAGAUCCCUCAAAAGAUGAGUUAUUUUCUUA